Non-coding RNA from Biomphalaria pfeifferi, 602 nucleotides. The record is from the annotation of a GenBank genome assembly. NCBI's taxonomy places the organism in Eukaryota, Metazoa, Mollusca, Gastropoda, Planorbidae.
AACUCAAUACAUUUUUUUUUGUUUUAAACAACCCUUCAGUAAAAGAAUAUUAUUAAAAAUUUUGCUUUUAAAACUAUACAUUGUAAACCUGGUAAUAUUCUGAUAAUAUGCACAUAAAAAACACUUUCAAAAGAUUGAAUUAAAAAAAAACAACAUGUAUGCAAGAAAAUUAUAUUGGAGAAUUAAUGCUGGUUUAAAGUUGCAUUUGAUUAAGGAAUGCAAAGAUAAUAAAUUCUUUAACAAAACAAUUGUUGAGCCCAAAAAAAUUGCCAACUUUUUUGUUUAUAUUUGCAUAGUCUUGAAACAAAAAGUUUAUGCAAUAUGAUAUUUCUAAUUAGAAAUCAACCAUAUCACUAACAACCAAUUAACAAAGGUAAAUGAAUCAAAAGUAAAAACAAUGUACACAACCAACAUAUUUCAAAAGUACAACAGUUUAUAUUACAUACAUAGAAUGGACAACUCAAAGAUCUCAUUGGUUUGUAUGCUGAUUCAGUUCCACUGAAAGAUCUCAUUAGCUUGUAUGUUGAUUCAGUUCAACUCAAAGAUCUCAUUAGCUUGUAUGUUGAUUCAGUUCAACUCAAAGAUCUCAUUAGCUUGUAUGU